GAAGACAGUCUGUUCUCCAUCACUCAACAGACACAUCUGUUGUAAAUGCAGAGCUUGAAGGGAACACUUAAAAUAAGAAAAAAACUACACAACUCACUUUUUCAGACACAAUGAAAACCAUUUCAUUCAUCUCUUGCCUUUUCUAUGCAGUUUCACUAACAGAUGGAGCCAUAAUCAGUGUAGAGGGAUUUGAAGGAAGGAGUGUCUCCUUCCAGUGCUCGCACAAUUUUGCAUGGAGCAACAACAAGUAUUUCUGCAAAGAUCCAUGUACAAGCACAGGAGACAUACUGGUUACUGUAGAACCUGGCAGAAGAGCAGAGUCAGGGAGAAUAACUCUGGUGGACUCUGGGGAUGGAUCCUUCACUGUGACCUUCAGUCAUCUCCAGCUGUCAGACUCAAAGAAAUACUGGUGUGGAGUAGAAAGGCCUUUUUUUGACACAUAU
Molecule: long non-coding RNA, 443 nt
Organism: Oreochromis aureus
Lineage: Eukaryota; Metazoa; Chordata; Actinopteri; Cichliformes; Cichlidae
Exons: 3
Source: RefSeq, a predicted model, not a curated record